GACGAACGCUGGCGGCGUGCUUAACACAUGCAAGUCGAACGGAAAGGCCCUGCUUUUGUGGGGUGCUCGAGUGGCGAACGGGUGAGUAACACGUGAGUAACCUGCCCUUGACUUUGGGAUAACUUCAGGAAACUGGGGCUAAUACCGGAUAGGAGCUCCUGCUGCAUGGUGGGGGUUGGAAAGCUUCGGCGGUUGGGGAUGGACUCGCGGCUUAUCAGCUUGUUGGUGGGGUAGUGGCUUACCAAGGCUUUGACGGGUAGCCGGCCUGAGAGGGUGACCGGCCACAUUGGGACUGAGAUACGGCCCAGACUCCUACGGGAGACAGCAGUGGGGAAUAUUGCACAAUGGGCGGAAGCCUGAUGCAGCAACGCCGCGUGCGGGAUGACGGCCUUCGGGUUGUAAACCGCUUUCGCCUGUGACGAAGCGUGAGUGACGGUAAUGGGUAAAGAAGCACCGGCUAACUACGUG
This 468-nucleotide ribosomal RNA is filed under the name uncultured bacterium. RNAcentral's name for it is "partial 16S ribosomal RNA". It matches the Rfam family "Bacterial small subunit ribosomal RNA", at positions 28 to 507 of the family's 1533-position model. The record is from RNAcentral.